GACGAACGCUGGCGGCGUGCUUAACACAUGCAAGUCGAACGGAAAGGCCCUGCUUUUGUGGGGUGCUCGAGUGGCGAACGGGUGAGUAACACGUGAGUAACCUGCCCUUGACUUUGGGAUAACUUCAGGAAACUGGGGCUAAUACCGGAUAGGAGCUCCUGCUGCAUGGUGGGGGUUGGAAAGUUUCGGCGGUUGGGGAUGGACUCGCGGCUUAUCAGCUUGUUGGUGGGGUAGUGGCUUACCAAGGCUUUGACGGGUAGCCGGCCUGAGAGGGUGACCGGCCACAUUGGGACUGAGAUACGGCCCAGACUCCUACGGGAGGCAGCAGUGGGGAAUAUUGCACAAUGGGCGGAAGCCUGAUGCAGCAACGCCGCGUGCGGGAUGACGGCCUUCGGGUUGUAAACCGCUUUCGCCUGUGACGAAGCGUGAGUGACGGUAAUGGGUAAAGAAGCACCGGCUAACUACGUGCCAGCAGCCGCGGUGAUACGUAGGGUGCGAGCGUUGUCCGGAUUUAUUGGGCGUAAAGGGCUCGUAGGUGGUUGAUCGCGUCGGAAGUGUAAUCUUGGGGCUUAACCCUGAGCGUGCUUUCGAUACGGGUUGACUUGAGGAAGGUAGGGGAGAAUGGAAUUCCUGGUGGAGCGGGGGAAUGCGCAGAUAUCAGGAGGAACACCAGUGGCGAAGGCGGUUCUCUGGGCCUUUCCUGACGCUGAGGAGCGAAAGCGUGGGGAGCGAACAGGCUUAGAUAUCCUGGUAGUCCACGCUGUAAACGGUGGGUACUAGGUGUGGGGUCCAUUCCACGGGUUCCGUGCCGUAGCUAACGCUUUAAGUACCCCGCCUGGGGAGUACGGCCGCAAGGCUAAAACUCAAAGGAAUUGACGGGGCCCCGCACAAGCGGCGGAGCAUGCGGAUUAAUUCGAUGCAACGCGUAGAACCUUACCUGGGUUUGACAUGGAUCGGGAGUGCUCAGAGAUGGGUGUGCCUCUUUUGGGGUCGGUUCACAGGUGGUGCAUGCCUGUCGUCAGCUCGUGUCGUGAGAUGUUGGGUUAAGUCCCGCAACGAGCGCAACCCUUGUUCACUGUUGCCAGCACGUUAUGGUGGGGACUCAGUGGAGACCGCCGGGGUCAACUCGGAGGAAGGUGGGGAUGACGUCAAGUCCUCAUGCCCCUUAUGUCCAGGGCUUCACGCAUGCUACAAUGGCUGGUACAGAGAGUGGCGAGCCUGUGAGGGUGAGCGAAUCUCGGAAAGCCGGUCUCAGUUCGGAUUGGGGUCUGCAACUCGACCUCAUGAAGUCGGAGUCGCUAGUAAUCGCAGAUCAGCAACGCUGCGGUGAAUACGUUCCCGGG
This 1343-nucleotide ribosomal RNA is filed under the name uncultured bacterium. Its description in RNAcentral is "16S ribosomal RNA". It matches the Rfam family "Bacterial small subunit ribosomal RNA", at positions 28 to 1378 of the family's 1533-position model. The record is from RNAcentral.